This is an RNA transcript of Quercus robur (English oak), 3593 nucleotides long. RefSeq lists it as uncharacterized. NCBI's taxonomy places the organism in Eukaryota, Viridiplantae, Streptophyta, Magnoliopsida, Fagales, Fagaceae. The record is from RefSeq and is a predicted model, not a curated record. The transcript is spliced from 3 exons.
AUUAUUAUUAUUUUUAUAUACAACUGAAUAUAUUAUUAAUGCUUCUGUUACAAUGACAUUUGAGCUUGUCUUAUCUUUUUGUUUUUGGUGUUCCUCUUUAUUUGGAUAUUUUUUUUAUAUGUUCUUUGAAUAUCAAAUUUGUUCCUGGACACGAUUUGACAGCCUCAUGGUCUGCUACGUGUUAUAUAUAUCUAUGGAACCUUCCACAUCUGUCCAUCCUUCCCUCUUUGGUUCUGUUUGUGGUGAAAAUGGAACCUCGUUACAAAACUAAAAAACCAAAAACAAAAUGCAAAACAAAUAAAUUUUAAUUCAUCAAUGUUGUGUGCAAUGGAAUUCUCUCACAAUUUAAUUUAGUACCAAAUGCCCCUAAAAUUGAAGGUGGGUGAUGAAGUGCAGAUUCGCCAAUUGUUGUAAGUGCGUCCAAAUGGAGCCGAGUCUUCGUUUGUGUCAUCGUGAAAAUGGUAAGAUAGCUCCCUUAAGGUGGUCACCGGUGCGAUGCCUACCACAACGUCUCCGAUGCCAAAUUUAGUAUAAAAAAGCUUUUAGGAAAUAACAGAGUGUCAGAAUAACUAGUAGUACUUUUAAGUGUGUCUAUGUACCUUGUAUUGUUGCUAUGAGGGCUUUAUAUAUGUUUCCACAGCCCCUAGCCGUUGUGGUUGUUAAUGUGGUUUUAAUGCCUCUCUUGGUAACACCUCAUUCUUAAUAAUGUGAUUUUUAAUAAGACUUCCAACGGUCUAUAUAGCUGGUCUUGUAACCGUUCGGGACAUUAUUGGUUGCAUUGAAUGGCUUUGUUACUCUCGUCAAAGAUAUGGACAUGUGGUUAGCUUGUCUCAGAGGACGGCCUCGUUGGUCUUGAUGAGAUCGUUUAGUUGAGUUCGUCAGUCCCAUCAACUGCCCCCAAAUUCUGUGGUCUUCGUGACAUGUUAUGACGAUCAUAGAAGAUGAAAGGUCCUUGGGCUGUACAUGACUCUUGGGAUUUCGUUCCACAUUAAAUGCGUAGUGGCGGCGCCACACGCGUUGUGGCCAUGUGACACGUUCUGAUCAGUGGAGUUAAUGCUCCAAUUUGUAUGACUCUUGGGUUUCCCGCUGAAUUUCAGUUUUUUGAGCCUUGGUUUUUAAACUUCUCCUCUUCUCACUUUCCCUUUCACUUUUCCCAAACUCCCAAUCAUUGCUCUGAGUAUAUUCUUCUCCAACCUUUCUCUGCAAUUCUUCUCCAAGCUGGUGCGUGGCGUGGUUGAGCUUCCUACAUUUCCCUUUUUGAGGUACGCUUUUCUCCCUCUUUCUUGCUUCUUUUCUUUUCUGUUGUGAUAAACUUUUGGUUUUUUCUUUCUCUUCUUUUUUGGCGUUUGUUCUUGGUUUUUUGGGGAUUUAGCAUUCAUCUCUUUCCCUCUAUGUGUUUUUUCUGGUUUUCACGGUCAGUAGUUCUGAGGUUAAGGUAGUAUGCCCCUUAGUUUCCUUUUUGUUUGCUCGUUUGGGGGCUUCCUUAGAUACUUCCCGUGCUUUUCUCCCUUCGGUUGGGAAUUUUGUUUUUGAGGGUUGUGGGUUAGGUGUUGUAUUGGGUGAGUUGUUCCUUAUGCUUAGCCAAUCAGUCAAUUGGUUUGGGGGUUUGGUAGUAAAGGAGAAGAAGAGAAUGUUUGAAGUAAGAUCCAGUGAGCUUGAGACUGGGUUGUCUUCUAACGACGACCUAGUGGGGGGAGAUACCGCUGUCUCUACCCCUCGAGAGGUUAGGGCUUUUCACGCCCUUGAGGAGGUGUUUGGGCUGGACGGCGAGACACUUGGUAGGUUUAAGGAUAGGUUUCAGUUCUUGGAGAGGGUUAGGGUUCGUUUACCCGGAGAGGAGGAACGGGCUUGCCAUUUCUUUCCUGAGGAGGUAUGCUUUUACGAGGCUGCCUUCUUGUGUGGGUUGAGGUUCCCCAUCCAUCCAUUUCUUAUGGAGUUGUUAGAUCGCUUUGGUAUUGCUCUUGGGCAACUUAUGCCCAAUUCAUGGAGGAUAGUGGUCAGUUGUAUGGGGAUAUGGCUGGCCGCUACAGAUGGGGACAUGAUUAAGGUAGAUGAGCUCAUCUACUUAUACCGUUUAAAGGAGUCCAAGGAGCACGGGUAUUAUGAGUUGGUGCCCUGGGAGAGGAGGACUAGGAUCGUCAGAGGUCUACCUUCGUCCUUUAGGUAUUGGAAGUCCCAGUUCUUUUUUGUAUCCGGGGAUGACUUUGAGACCCCCUCCAACAAGGUUUGGGGUGAUCUCCCAAGGUUGCUCCGUUGGUGGGGAACCCCAUGCUUAGUUAAGAGAAGACCCAAGCUUAAAAGCAGGCACAAGGAACGUGUUGAGAAGGCAAUUGAAUACGCAAAGAUGAUUGAGGAUUGGGACUAUCUUGUGGACCCAUAGACUCUCGCCUUCUAUUGCCUUAGUCCCAACCCGUCUACCUUUGUUCUACACAAUAUCGAGAUUGAGGAGAAAAAGAGUAAGUGCUAAGCUCGUCCGUGUUGAUCUUCUUGGAUAUACAUACAUACAUAUAUAUAUAUAUAUAUAUAUAUAUUACAAGUGUUCUCCUCUUACGGGAAUGACGACUAAGUUUAACUAAGACAUGUACGCGAAAAUGAGGACGAAAAAGAAUGAGCCACUGUCCACUCUCGGGAAGAGGACAGUGCGCGUUACAGGGAAGGGCCCCAUUACUCCAGGUGUCUAAGUGGCUCCAAUUGUCCUGGGUACUGAGACGGUGAGGACAACCUCUCCAGCCACUUCGGUUGAAGAGAUUCCUACUCUUAUCUCUAAGAGGCCACGCGUGGCUGACAAAAAGAAGGAGAAGGCUAGUUCCCGUUCGUCUAGUGUUUGGGACGAUGUUGAACUUUUAAUGGAAAGGGUGCACGAGGUCAUCACUACUGAGGACCAGAAGGUUUUCUUGGGUGUGCCUUCUAAUGAGGUUAUGACCCGGCAUGUCCACAAACUCGUUCAGGUGCUGGGGGAGAGCCUUCACAUCAUUACGGAGUACCUCACUCAGGAAGCCAAGGUCGCGUCUCUGAUGUCCAGGAUGGAGGCUCUGGAGGCGAAGAACUCCAAGCUGAAGAAGGACCUGAUUAUUGCUAUGGAAGAGGCCAACACCUCUAAGGAAAAAGCCAAGACCUUAAGCGACGACCUCAGAGCCGAGUGGCAGCUGACUCUGGAAAAAGAUGAACAACUUUUGGCUGGUAAGGCUGUUGAGGCUUUCUAGUAGACUGACGAGUACAACACAGUACUCUUCAGUUGGUAUUUCAAGGGUUUGAGCUUCUGAGAAGGUACUUCGACAAGCAUCCCACUGGGGUAGAUCUAUAAAAUUUGGAUUUGGAAGAGGUGGAUAAAGAGAUGGCAAUUGACGAAGCCUCCCAGUCCUCGGCUUCUGAGCAUGAUGCUCCUAAGAGUGCUCCUAUCGGUGGUGACACUGCUGCCAGUGCCUGAACCUGUUAUUUUUCCUUUGUAAUCUUUCUUUCUCUUUUUUUUUUUAAGUGCUCAGUGUGUUUUGGGCUUUUUAAUUCUAUUUUGAGAACAAUAUUCUAAUUUGAGAACAACCUCACCUAGUGUUUAUGGGUUUAUAAUGAUAACACAAUGCUGGUUGCCCGCUGUC